ACCCUGCUGACGAGUCCCUAACAGGACGAAAUGCGUGUUCUGAAU
This 45-nucleotide non-coding RNA is filed under the name Schistosoma margrebowiei. The record is from RNAcentral. Lineage: Eukaryota; Metazoa; Platyhelminthes; Trematoda; Strigeidida; Schistosomatidae.